Drosophila novamexicana is the source of this 378-nucleotide long non-coding RNA. RefSeq lists it as uncharacterized. Lineage: Eukaryota; Metazoa; Arthropoda; Insecta; Diptera; Drosophilidae. The record is from RefSeq and is a predicted model, not a curated record. The transcript is spliced from 3 exons.
UUAAUGAAUAAAUUUUUGUUUUUAAUAUUUAAACCCCGGAUACCAGGACAACCGAAGAGAUCGCCUGCAUUGCCGCUGUGGCGGCCACACGCUGUUUUGUCUCUCCUGCUCUUUGACCCCGCUCGGCCUGACAGCCACCUCUUGGCCCAUCCCUUGCGGCUGCAGUCGACUGUCGUCGACAUCUUUGCGCCACUUUGUCCUUUGCGCUGCGAACAAUUUAAAGCGAAAGUUACCAAACCCUUGCCCUUAUCCUUUCAACUUGCUCCUGCACACACGGCAACAAAAAUGCAGCGGCAAAUGCAAUUUAAUUGAAGCCAAUCCUGCACAUGUAAGAAAAGGUGGAAAUGGCUUAUAUGACAUCUGAAGAAGACGUGAAGU